UAAAAGCUUGGUCCUGACUUUAGCGUCAGUUAUUACCCAAUUUACACAUGCAAGUCCCCGCAACCCCGUGAGAAUGCCCUCUACCCCCGGUAGGGAAAGAGGGGCCGGCAUCAGGCACGCCACAAGGUAGCCCAAAACGCCUUGCUCAGCCACACCCCCAAGGGAAAAUCGCAGUGAUAAACAUUAAGCCAUAAGCGAAAGCUCGACUUAGUUACGGUAAGUUUUAAGGGCCGGUAAAACUCGUGCCAGCCACCGCGGUUAUACGAGAGGCCCAAGUUGACAUUCUACGGCGUAAAGCGUGAUUAGAGAACCUCAAUUCCACUAAAGCCAAACACCCCUUAAGCUGUCAUACGCUGCCAGGGCACACGAAGCCCCACAACUAAAGUAGCUUUAUUAAACCUGAACUCACGACAACUAAGAAACAAACUGGGAUUAGAUACCCCACUAUGCUUAGUCUUAAACUAUGGCGAAAUAAUACAAAUAUCGCCCGCCAGGGAACUACGAGCAUUAGCUUAAAACCCAAAGGACUUGACGGUGCCUCAAACCCGCCUAGAGGAGCCUGUUCUAUAACCGAUACUCCCCGUUAAACCUCACCACCCCUUGUUAAUUCCGCCUAUAUACCACCGUCGCCAGUUUACCUUAUGAAAGAAUAAUAGUAAGCUAAAGGGGCAUUGCCCAAAACGUCAGGUCGAGGUGUAGCGAAUGGGGUGGCAAGAAAUGGGCUACAUUUUCUGAAAACAGAAUAUUACGGAAAGUGUAAUGAAAAUCGCACGACUGAAGGUGGAUUUAGCAGUAAAAAGGAAAAAGAGUGUCCUUUUGAAGCCGGCUCUGAGGCGCGUACACACCGCCCGUCACUCUCCUCAAAUUACCCCUAAUAAUUAAACAAUAACUGGAAUAAACAAAGAGGAGGCAAGUCGUAACAUGGUAAGUGUACCGGAAGGUGCACUUGGAAUAAU
Molecule: non-coding RNA, 956 nt
Filed under: Myroconger compressus (red eel)
Lineage: Eukaryota; Metazoa; Chordata; Actinopteri; Anguilliformes; Myrocongridae
Description: 12S rRNA
Rfam family: Bacterial small subunit ribosomal RNA
Source: RNAcentral